This 468-nucleotide ribosomal RNA is filed under the name uncultured bacterium. Its description in RNAcentral is "bacterial SSU rRNA". It matches the Rfam family "Bacterial small subunit ribosomal RNA", at positions 28 to 510 of the family's 1533-position model. The record is from RNAcentral.
GACGAACGCUGGCGGCGUGCUUAACACAUGCAAGUCGAGCGGUAAGGCCCUUUCGGGGGUACACGAGCGGCGAACGGGUGAGUAACACGUGGGUGACCUGCCCUUAGCUCUGGGAUAAGCCUGGGAAACUGGGUCUAAUACCGGAUAUGACUCCAUGACGCAUGUUGUGGGGUGGAAAGCCUUGUGCGGCUAGGGAUGGGCCCGCGGCCUAUCAGCUUGUUGGUGGGGUGAUGGCCUACCAAGGCGACGACGGGUAGCCGGCCUGAGAGGGCGACCGGCCACACUGGGACUGAGACACGGCCCAGACUCCUACGGGAGGCAGCAGUGGGGAAUCUUGCGCAAUGGGCGAAAGCCUGACGCAGCGACGCCGCGUGGGGAUGACGGCCCUCGGGUUGUAAACCUCUUUCAGCCCUGACGAAGCGAAAGUGACGGUAGGGGCGAGAAGAAGCACCGGCCAACUACGUGCCA